RNAcentral lists this unclassified non-coding RNA (350 nucleotides) under plant metagenome. RNAcentral describes it as "partial contains 5.8S ribosomal RNA, internal transcribed spacer 2, and large subunit ribosomal RNA". The stretch from base 1 to 105 matches the Rfam family "5.8S ribosomal RNA", at positions 50 to 154 of the family's 154-position model. The record is from RNAcentral.
GAAAUGCGAUAAGUAAUGUGAAUUGCAGAAUUCAGUGAAUCAUCGAAUCUUUGAACGCACCUUGCGCUCCCUGGUAUUCCGGGGAGCAUGCCUGUUUGAGUGUCAUGGUAUCCUCAACCUUCAUAACUUUUUGUUAUCGAAGGCUUGGACUUGGAGGUUGUGCUGGCUUCCAGUCGAGUCGGCUCCUCUUAAAUGUAUUAGCGUGAGUGUAACGGAUCGCUUCGGUGUGAUAAUUAUCUGCGCCGUGGUCGUGAAGUAACAUAAGCUUGCGCUUCUAACCGUCCUUCAGUUGGACAACUUACUUUGACAUCUGACCUCAAAUCAGGUAGGACUACCCGCUGAACUUAAGC